AGCAGCCGCGGUAAUUCCAGCUCCAAUAGCGUAUAUUAAAGUUGUUGCAGUUAAAAAGCUCGUAGUUGAAUUUCGGGAUCAAUACGUCGGUCGUGCUUCGGUACGUACUGGCGUAAUUGAUUUCUCCCUUCUGACGAACCAUGAUGUCAUUAACUUGGUGUCAUGGGAAAUCAGGACUGUUACUUUGAAAAAAUUAGAGUGUUUAAAGCAAGCUAACGCUUGAAUACAUUAGCAUGGAAUAAUGAAAUAGGACGUUCGAUCCUAUUUUGUUGGUUUCUAGGAUUGACGUAAUGAUUAAUAGGGAUAGUUGGGGGCAUUAGUAUUCAAUUGUCAGAGGUGAAAUUCUUGGAUUUAUUGAAGACUAACUACUGCGAAAGCAUUUGCCAAGGAUGUUUUCAUUAAUCAAGAACGAAAGUUAGGGGAUCGAAGACGAUCAGAUACCGUCGUAGUCUUAAACCAUAAACUAUG
This 468-nucleotide ribosomal RNA is filed under the name uncultured Glomus. RNAcentral describes it as "SSU rRNA". It matches the Rfam family "Eukaryotic small subunit ribosomal RNA", at positions 569 to 1041 of the family's 1831-position model. The record is from RNAcentral. Lineage: Eukaryota; Fungi; Glomeromycota; Glomeromycetes; Glomerales; Glomeraceae.